AAGUAUGAAAAGUAUCGGGUCAUUUCUAUCUGAACAGAUUAUCGACAGCGAAUUUAUCCAAACACUUUAGGAAAGAGAAGAUCCUAAAAUCUAAAAUACAAGCGCAAGGGGGGCGAGGAGAGCAGGGUGGGCUGGGUGCUGGAGCGAGUAGGACGUUAACAGCCAAUAGUUUGCACCUGUCCGUCAACUCGCACCACCCACUCAGCGCCGCUCGGGCCAGCGCGGGCGGCCGCUUCGCUGGCUGUGCAGCCUGUUCUAGGCCGUGGGAGAGCACUAAAGAAGACUUUCAAGCCACUCCUCGAAGAGCUUCUGAUCCGUGGGGGAGAUGAAAUCUGCCUUCCUUAUUUACAUGACCCUGGAUGUCUGCCAUUUUGAAGAAUUCCAGAUUAGCGCUGAGCUAACUGCUGCCAAUCCUCUUUUCACUGAGGAAGACUGGCCCUGAGCUAACAUCCAUGCCCAUCUUCCUCUACUGUAUAUGUGGGACGCCUACCACAGCGUGGCUUGCCAAGUGGUGCCAUGUCCGCAGCCGGGAU
RNAcentral lists this long non-coding RNA (533 nucleotides) under Equus caballus (horse). Its description in RNAcentral is "lncRNA (ENSECAG00000033750.3)". The record is from RNAcentral. Lineage: Eukaryota; Metazoa; Chordata; Mammalia; Perissodactyla; Equidae.